AUGGAGGUCGCCAUGCUGGCCAUCCGUCCCCUCCUCCCGAAGCUGGGGAGCCUGCUCGCAGGCGAGUUCACCUUGGAGAAGCGCGUGAGGGAAGGCAUCGACACCCUCAACAGGGAGCUGAAGCUGAUGCAUGCCGCCCUCGGCAAGGUGGCCAAAGUGCCGCCGGAUCAGCUCGACGAGGGGGUCAAGAUCUGGGCAGGAAUGGUGAGGGACUUGGCCUACCACAUGGAGGACAUCGUCGACACCUUCAUGGUGCGCGUCUAUGAUGGAUCUUCCAACCCGAAGAACAGAGUGAAGAAGUUACUCAAGAAGACAGGCAGAUUAUUUAGUAAGGGUAAAGAUCACCAUCGAAUCUCCGAUGCUCUAAAACAAGCGGUUGCUCAGGCUGAACAGUUGGCUGAGCAGCACCAAAGGUACGAGGUGGAGACGCCAGACACCGGCCCUGGUAUUAGCAUUGAUCCUCGCAUCAAGGCUAUGUACACAGAUGUGACAGAGCUCAUUGGCAUCGAAGAACCACGAGAAGAGUUGAUCAACAUGUUACUUCAGGGUGAUGAUUGGUCGAAUAAUCCAUUGAAGACGGUCUCAAUUGUUGGAUUUGGCGGGUUAGGCAAGACGACUCUUGCCAAAACAGUGUAUGACAAGAUCAAAGUGAAAUUUGAUUGUCGUGCCUUUGUGUCGGUUUCUCAGAAUCCCGACAUAAAGAAAAUAUUGAAGGAUAUUCUUUUUGGGCUUGACAAGGACAAGUAUGCAAAGAUAUAUAAUGUAUCACGAGAAGCAAGCCAUCUCAUAGACGAACUCAUUGAAUUCCUCAAUGACAAAAGGUAUCUCAUCAUAAUUGAUGACAUAUGGGAUGAAGAAUCAUGGGAAAUAAUCAAGCUUUCUUUCUUCAAGAAGAGUCUCGGAAGUCGAUUAAUCACGACAACCUGCAAUGUCAAUGUCGCUAAAGCAUGUUGCACUUCUACUGAUGAUAUUUAUAGAAUGAAACCUCUUUGUGAUGAUGUCUCAAGAAGGCUCUUCUGCAAAAGAGUAUUUUCUCCCAGUGAAGGAUGUCCUCAUGAGUUGUCGGAAGUAUCUCAACACAUCUUGAAGAAAUGUGGCGGAAUACCAUUAGCCAUUAUCACUAUAGCAAGUCUUCUGGCUAAUAAUCACCGGAUGAAAACAAAGGACCACUGGGAUGCCGUGCUCAACUCCAUUGGCCGUGGACUCACAGAAGAUCGCAAUGUAAAGGAGAUGAAGAAGAUAUUAUUAUUCAGCUAUUAUGAUCUACCUUCUUAUCUUAAGCCAUGCUUAUUGUAUCUCAGUAUCUUUCCAGAAGAUCAUCUGAUUAUGAGACGCCAGCUGAUAUUGAAAUGGAUAUCUGAAGGUAUCGUUUAUAGUGAAGAAGAAGAGACUAGCUUAUAUGAGCUCGGUGACAGCUACUUCAAUGAGUUAGUAAACAGAAGUAUGAUACAGCCGAUAGGUAUUGAUGAGGAAGAGAAAGUAGAAGCUUGCCGCUUCGUCAUCUCAGUCUAA
RNAcentral lists this ribosomal RNA (1512 nucleotides) under Triticum aestivum (bread wheat). RNAcentral's name for it is "partial small subunit ribosomal RNA". The record is from RNAcentral. Lineage: Eukaryota; Viridiplantae; Streptophyta; Magnoliopsida; Poales; Poaceae.